Molecule: microRNA, 18 nt
Filed under: Danio rerio (zebrafish)
Lineage: Eukaryota; Metazoa; Chordata; Actinopteri; Cypriniformes; Danionidae
Also listed under: 3 other names
Description: dre-miR-139-5p
Gene: dre-miR-139-5p
Source: miRBase by way of RNAcentral
UCUACAGUGCAUGUGUCU